This 348-nucleotide ribosomal RNA is filed under the name uncultured Lachnospiraceae bacterium. Its description in RNAcentral is "bacterial SSU rRNA". It matches the Rfam family "Bacterial small subunit ribosomal RNA", at positions 355 to 720 of the family's 1533-position model. The record is from RNAcentral. Lineage: Bacteria; Bacillati; Bacillota; Clostridia; Lachnospirales; Lachnospiraceae.
UGGGGAAUAUUGCACAAUGGGGGAAACCCUGAUGCAGCGACGCCGCGUGAACGAAGAAGUAUUUCGGUAUGUAAAGUUCUAUCAGCAGGGAAGAUAAUGACGGUACCUGAUGAAUAAGCCACGGCUAACUACGUGCCAGCAGCCGCGGUAAUACGUAGGUGGCAAGCGUUAUCCGGAUUUACUGGGUGUAAAGGGCGCGUAGGCGGGGAUACAAGUCAGAUGUGAAAUCUAUGGGCUUAACCCAUAAACUGCAUUUGAAACUGUAUCUCUUGAGUGUCGGAGAGGUAGACGGAAUUCCUAGUGUAGCGGUGAAAUGCGUAGAUAUUAGGAGGAACACCAGUGGCGAAG